UGUCUGGUCGCGAACAGACAACAGCAGAAGUUCUGGCAGCCCUGCAGCCCCUUUGCACCAGUACAGCUGAAGCAAGGACAAUAUGGGCAAGCUGCAAACCUCUCCCAAAAAACAGCAAGGUGUUUGUGCAGAAGUCUAGAUGUGCGCUGUCUCCAGUGAGGGACCUGGGUGCAUGAGGUUACACAGGGAUUAUCCUAAAGCUGCUGCCUCCUGUCUUGUAAUGUAGUGAUUUCCCACCCCAGCACAGCCAUUUAUUACACUGCUUGCGACCAAGGAGUCGGCAUGUCUUUGGCCAGAUUAUACAUGGAUGAAGCCAGUGAGACCAUAGGAACAGGGAGAUGGAGCCCUGGAAUCUGCCUUGCUCCAGAAAGCUGAGAGGCUAUGACCACCACAUCUAACCCUUGGUGAAAUGAGUGUUAAGUCCGCUGAAGAGUAACAGAAAUGGAAAUAAACAGAGGGGAAAAAAAAAAAAGAAAAAGAAGAAGAUAUGCCAUACAAUUUCCUGAAGCAGCUGAACCUGGAGAGGAAAAAGUCAAAGGGAACGUUAGGUCAAUUUGAAAAUAGAAAGAUAACAGAACAGACUGUUGUUGUUAUUUUCUAUUCGAACAUUAAAAUAAAUAAAUAAAAAAUAG
Long non-coding RNA from Cygnus atratus (black swan), 632 nucleotides. RefSeq lists it as uncharacterized. The transcript is spliced from 3 exons. The record is from RefSeq and is a predicted model, not a curated record. NCBI's taxonomy places the organism in Eukaryota, Metazoa, Chordata, Aves, Anseriformes, Anatidae.